AAAAAAAAAGGGUACAUAAUAUAUCAUACACGUACAUAAAUCAGUUCCUGCAUAUUCUCUCUAAUAAUGUUAUUAAGGGCUAAGGGAGGUAUCUUGGAAACAUUAAAGAAAUAACUCGACAUCCCGCAAUAAAGUAAUAAAGUCGGCGGCUCUAUUUCUAUCCCUCCAACAAUGGGUGACUCUAAAAGACUGUAAGGCUCUUGCAUUUUCAGUGAAGCUCAGCAGCAUAUUUCGCGCUUAUGGGGCUUGCAUUGGGAGUUAAUCAUCUUAACUGCAUAUAAUGAGUCAGACUCUACCCAAAGGUUCCGAGUGCCCAUUCGCGAAGCCAUCUCCACCGUAUGGCAGAUUGCAUAAAGUUCCACCUUCCAAAUCUCUCUCCCCAACCCUCUCUCAAAAACUUUGAAAGGUCCGAAGGACUAAAUAUGCAAGCGGUAGUUCGGUAUCAGCUGUCUCAUCUGGUCAAUCUCAUCCCACACAAGAAGGAUUUUUAUCUAAG
This 496-nucleotide unclassified non-coding RNA is filed under the name Hevea brasiliensis (rubber tree). The record is from RNAcentral. Lineage: Eukaryota; Viridiplantae; Streptophyta; Magnoliopsida; Malpighiales; Euphorbiaceae.